This 2915-nucleotide ribosomal RNA is filed under the name Vibrio campbellii CAIM 519 = NBRC 15631 = ATCC 25920. Its description in RNAcentral is "Vibrio campbellii CAIM 519 = NBRC 15631 23S ribosomal RNA". It matches the Rfam family "Bacterial large subunit ribosomal RNA". The record is from RNAcentral. Lineage: Bacteria; Pseudomonadati; Pseudomonadota; Gammaproteobacteria; Vibrionales; Vibrionaceae.
GUUGUAUGGUUAAGUGACUAAGCGUACACGGUGGAUGCCUUGGCAGUCAGAGGCGAUGAAGGACGUAUUAACUUGCGAUAAGCCCAGAUUAGGUAGUAAAAACCAUUUGAGUCUGGGAUUUCCGAAUGGGGAAACCCACUAGCAUAAGCUAGUAUCGCUGCGUGAAUACAUAGCGCAGCGAGGCGAACCGGGGGAACUGAAACAUCUAAGUACCCCGAGGAAAAGAAAUCAACCGAGAUUCCGAAAGUAGCGGCGAGCGAAAUUGGAUUAGCCCUUAAGCUUUUUAUGCGUCAGGUGAAACUUCUGGAAAGUUGUGCGAUACAGGGUGAUAGCCCCGUAACCGGCAACGCAUUUAAAGUGAAAUCGAGUAGGGCGGGACACGUGAUAUCCUGUCUGAAUAUGGGGGGACCAUCCUCCAAGGCUAAAUACUACUGACUGACCGAUAGUGAACCAGUACCGUGAGGGAAAGGCGAAAAGAACCCCUGUGAGGGGAGUGAAAUAGAACCUGAAACCGUGUACGUACAAGCAGUAGGAGCACCUUCGUGGUGUGACUGCGUACCUUUUGUAUAAUGGGUCAGCGACUUAUAUUCAGUGGCAAGGUUAACCAUCUAGGGGAGCCGUAGGGAAACCGAGUCUUAACUGGGCGUUCAGUCUCUGGAUAUAGACCCGAAACCAGGUGAUCUAGCCAUGGGCAGGUUGAAGGUUGAGUAACAUCAACUGGAGGACCGAACCGACUAAUGUUGAAAAAUUAGCGGAUGACUUGUGGCUAGGGGUGAAAGGCCAAUCAAACCUGGAGAUAGCUGGUUCUCCCCGAAAGCUAUUUAGGUAGCGCCUCGGACGAAUACUACUGGGGGUAGAGCACUGUUAAGGCUAGGGGGUCAUCCCGACUUACCAACCCUUUGCAAACUCCGAAUACCAGUAAGUACUAUCCGGGAGACACACGGCGGGUGCUAACGUCCGUCGUGGAGAGGGAAACAACCCAGACCGCCAGCUAAGGUCCCAAAUUACUACUAAGUGGGAAACGAUGUGGGAAGGCUCAGACAGCCAGGAUGUUGGCUUAGAAGCAGCCAUCAUUUAAAGAAAGCGUAAUAGCUCACUGGUCGAGUCGGCCUGCGCGGAAGAUGUAACGGGGCUAAGUAGUAAACCGAAGCUGCGGCAAUGCACUUUAGUGCAUUGGGUAGGGGAGCGUUCUGUAAGCGGUUGAAGGUGUGUGGUAACGCAUGCUGGACGUAUCAGAAGUGCGAAUGCUGACAUGAGUAACGAUAAAGGGGGUGAAAAACCUCCUCGCCGGAAGACCAAGGGUUCCUGUCCAACGUUAAUCGGGGCAGGGUAAGUCGACCCCUAAGGCGAGGCCGAAAGGCGUAGUCGAUGGGAAACGGGUUAAUAUUCCCGUACUUCUUACAAUUGCGAUGGGGGGACGGAGAAGGCUAGGUGGGCCUGGCGACGGUUGUCCAGGUUCAAGUGCGUAGGCUGAGAGAUUAGGUAAAUCCGGUUUCUCUUAAGGCUGAGACACGACGUCGAGCUACUACGGUAGUGAAGUCAUUGAUGCCAUGCUUCCAGGAAAAGCCUCUAAGCUUCAGAUUGUAAGGAAUCGUACCCCAAACCGACACAGGUGGUCGGGUAGAGAAUACCAAGGCGCUUGAGAGAACUCGGGUGAAGGAACUAGGCAAAAUGGUACCGUAACUUCGGGAGAAGGUACGCUCUCGACGGUGAAGUCCCUUGCGGAUGGAGCUAUUGAGAGUCGCAGAUACCAGGUGGCUGCAACUGUUUAUUAAAAACACAGCACUGUGCAAAAUCGUAAGAUGACGUAUACGGUGUGACGCCUGCCCGGUGCCGGAAGGUUAAUUGAUGGGGUUAGACUUCGGUCGAAGCUCUUGAUCGAAGCCCCGGUAAACGGCGGCCGUAACUAUAACGGUCCUAAGGUAGCGAAAUUCCUUGUCGGGUAAGUUCCGACCUGCACGAAUGGCGUAAUGAUGGCCACGCUGUCUCCACCCGAGACUCAGUGAAAUUGAAAUCGCUGUGAAGAUGCAGUGUACCCGCGGCUAGACGGAAAGACCCCGUGAACCUUUACUACAGCUUGGCACUGAACAUUGACCCUACAUGUGUAGGAUAGGUGGGAGGCUUUGAAACUAGUACGCCAGUAUUAGCGGAGCCGUCCUUGAAAUACCACCCUUGUAGUGUUGAUGUUCUAACGUCGACCCCUUAUCGGGGUUGCGGACAGUGCCUGGUGGGUAGUUUGACUGGGGCGGUCUCCUCCCAAAGCGUAACGGAGGAGCACGAAGGUGGGCUAAUCACGGUUGGACAUCGUGAGGUUAGUGCAAUGGCAUAAGCCCGCUUGACUGCGAGAAUGACAAUUCGAGCAGGUGCGAAAGCAGGUCAUAGUGAUCCGGUGGUUCUGAAUGGAAGGGCCAUCGCUCAACGGAUAAAAGGUACUCCGGGGAUAACAGGCUGAUACCGCCCAAGAGUUCAUAUCGACGGCGGUGUUUGGCACCUCGAUGUCGGCUCAUCACAUCCUGGGGCUGAAGUCGGUCCCAAGGGUAUGGCUGUUCGCCAUUUAAAGUGGUACGCGAGCUGGGUUUAGAACGUCGUGAGACAGUUCGGUCCCUAUCUGCCGUGGGCGUUGGAAGAUUGAAGGGGGCUGCUCCUAGUACGAGAGGACCGGAGUGGACGAACCUCUGGUGUUCGGGUUGUGUCGCCAGACGCAUUGCCCGGUAGCUAAGUUCGGAAUCGAUAACCGCUGAAAGCAUCUAAGCGGGAAGCGAGCCCUGAGAUGAGUCUUCCCUGAUACUUUAAGUAUCCUAAAGGGUUGUUCGAGACUAGAACGUUGAUAGGCAGGGUGUGUAAGCGUUGUGAGGCGUUGAGCUAACCUGUACUAAUUGCCCGUGAGGCUUAACCAUACAACACCCAAGGGGUUU